UCCCAUAUGGUCUAGUGGUUAGGAUAUUUCGCUCUCACCGAAAUGGCCCGGGUUCGAUUCCCGGUGUGGGAA
RNAcentral lists this transfer RNA (72 nucleotides) under Mayetiola destructor (Hessian fly). Its description in RNAcentral is "tRNA-Glu for anticodon CUC". It matches the Rfam family "tRNA". From Rfam's summary of the family: Transfer RNA (tRNA) molecules are approximately 80 nucleotides in length. Their secondary structure includes four short double-helical elements and three loops (D, anti-codon, and T loops). Further hydrogen bonds mediate the characteristic L-shaped molecular structure. tRNAs have two regions of fundamental functional importance: the anti-codon, which is responsible for specific mRNA codon recognition, and the 3' end, to which the tRNAs corresponding amino acid is attached (by aminoacyl-tRNA synthetases). tRNAs cope with the degeneracy of the genetic code in two manners: having more than one tRNA (with a specific anti-codon) for a particular amino acid; and 'wobble' base-pairing, i.e. permitting non-standard base-pairing at the 3rd anti-codon position. The record is from RNAcentral. Lineage: Eukaryota; Metazoa; Arthropoda; Insecta; Diptera; Cecidomyiidae.